GUUUUAAUAGUUUAAUAAAAAAAUAAUGAUCUUGUAAAUCGUAGACGGGAUUUUAUACCCUUAAAACU
RNAcentral lists this transfer RNA (68 nucleotides) under Scoparipes salvazai. Its description in RNAcentral is "tRNA-Thr". It matches the Rfam family "tRNA". Rfam says of the family: Transfer RNA (tRNA) molecules are approximately 80 nucleotides in length. Their secondary structure includes four short double-helical elements and three loops (D, anti-codon, and T loops). The record is from RNAcentral. Lineage: Eukaryota; Metazoa; Arthropoda; Insecta; Hemiptera; Cydnidae.